This 203-nucleotide long non-coding RNA is filed under the name Gossypium barbadense (sea-island cotton). Its description in RNAcentral is "long non-coding RNA (GBAR_LNC003084)". The record is from RNAcentral. Lineage: Eukaryota; Viridiplantae; Streptophyta; Magnoliopsida; Malvales; Malvaceae.
CAGUUUAGACUUUAGUCGAAAUAGUGGUUUUGGGACCAAAAAUUUGAGUUAGAAAAAUAUUUUAAUAAUAUUUUUUGUGCUUAUAAUAUGUGAAUUGAUGUUUGUGAAAAUUUCAUGUGAAAAUUUUACGUUUGUGUGCCUGAUUGGAUAAAAUGACCUAAUCGCAUAAAAUAUAAAAGUUGCUUGCUAAUUGUUAAAAGUGC